AUUGAACGCUGGCGGCAUGCCUUACACAUGCAAGUCGAACGGCAGCACGGGAGCAAUCCUGGUGGCGAGUGGCGAACGGGUGAGUAAUACAUCGGAACGUGCCCAGUAGUGGGGGAUAACCCGGCGAAAGCCGGACUAAUACCGCAUACGACCUACGGGUGAAAGCGGGGAUCGCAAGACCUCGCGCUAUCGGAGCGGCCGAUGUCAGAUUAGCUAGUUGGGGGUAAAGGCCCACCAAGGCGACGAUCUGUAGCUGGUCUGAGAGGACGACCAGCCACACUGGGACUGAGACACGGCCAGACUCCUACGGGAGGCAGCAGUGGGGAAUUUUGGACAAUGGGCGCAAGCCUGAUCCAGCCAUGCCGCGUGCGGGAAGAAGGCU
Molecule: ribosomal RNA, 382 nt
Filed under: uncultured bacterium
Lineage: Bacteria
Description: bacterial SSU rRNA
Rfam family: Bacterial small subunit ribosomal RNA
Source: RNAcentral